UUUCCCUGUGGGUUCUGGGAAAGGGCACCUUCAUAAGAAAACAUAUUAUAUUGUUAUUCAAACCAGAAUGUUUCAUUUCUUCGAGGAAUGAAGACAACUGAUUCCAAAUAGCAAACAAAAACAAUGGCCGCUCCUGUUUCUUGGAAGUCUGAAGGAUUUGCAUCAACAGAAAACAGCAGCUGCUAGGAUAGGUUUAUUUCCUUGUUAUUUAUUUCCUUAGCAGUUACCCAUAACUGGUGUUUCACUUUCUGACCUAACCUAGAGUUACUCCUUUCCGCACUACUGAUUGAAGUCUGCUGAGAUUCCACAUGUGCUGGUCUGGUCUGAUUUGCAGAACUGUGCUGAGUCCUGCUCAGAGAGGAAUACUAUUGCUCUUCUGCCACCUCUCCUGAGACAAAAUCAGCCAAACUCUGCAGAAAACAAGGGGUUAAUAGCAGUGAUGCAACAAGACUGUUUCCUGGAAAAGGAGAUAUUGUCUACAAGUGUUCACAGUGCCUUUCAGAGAGUAAAAGAGAAUUGAAACAGGCUCUAUUCUCAAAUAGCUGACAUUGAGCAUCUUCCAGCUAAAAUAUUCUUUACAAAGCACUAGAAUUAUUUUCCAUUAGGUGGUCAACAAUAUGCUCAGGUGAAUGCAGAUAGGGUUUAGAGCAAUACAGCCUCAAACUUCUAAAAUAGUAGAAGGGCUCAGAAAGGAAGGGAGCCUAGGUCUAAUUCAAAACUUAAUAUGUGUUUUCAACAUGCAUAGCUGCUACAACAGUAAAAGUUAAAGGACCAACAAUAACUCUGGCCAGUUUUAUUUAUGCUGGGUUUCAGCCCAAAUAAAAAUUCCCAGAAGAAAAAGAAAAGGAAGGUCAUGAUAGGAAGCACUGAGGUGACUGGAGCUCUGAUCAGUCAGGCUUCUAAAGCUUAAUUCUUAACCCUAGGCUUCUUUCUGCUGGUAAAAAUAGCUGCUGCCAAAAUAGUGAUGGCUUUAAAGAAGCUGUGGUGCUUUUGCUUCCAGAGGAAUUCCAUAUUGUUUCUGUGUACAGCAUUAAAACAAAUAUGUGGUAGAGAAAAUAAUAUUGGAGUUGCAAUAGAGAUUUUCCAGCUGCUCUUUAAUUUUUCCAAAAGAAAUAAUUGAGGGCAAAAUGAAAAUACAAGAUCCUUCUUUGAAUAGAGUCCUUUCUUCGCUGUAGGCAAAAAUGAAUACACAGGAUCUUGAGCUGAGCUGAAACAGAUCUCUGAGGAUCCAUUUAGAGGGAUAUUUGAAGGCUUUGAAGAAUUCAGUGAAAAAAGGAGGCUGGAUUCUCAUCAGGAAUGCAGUGAAGCUAAGGAUUCUUCAAAAGAAAGGAGAAGUCUGUGCACUGGCCCUGCAAAAAGGCAGGAAGGGGAAAGACAGAAGCAAUCUCUGCUGGGUCAAGUAGACAAAGCAAGAUACAAUGUGUGGGAGGGCUGGAAGAAGAAGAAAAUAUACUUCCAGUCCCCAGUCUUGGUGGAUUAUUAAAUGUCAGAAUGCUCGGCCAUCUGGUGAUGUCGUCAAAACCCAUUCUUGGGGUUGCUUUGAAAGGCCCUUGCACAACAUGCUACUCUACGAAAGAGCGAGUUGGAGCUGUGUACCAUUUCUUCAAGGCAGAAGAGCUCGCAGCAGGGCAGGAUUGUUCAUCCCUGCUGCCUGCAGGGGAAUGCAAAGAGGUUUGUGCAUAAUGAUCUCCUACCAGGACCGUGGGAUUUACCAUCAACCUGCACAGUGGGCUUUGCUUGUGAUGUGCAGUCUGGCCUAUGGCCCCAGCUGCCAUUAUCAGUAGGACAUUCAGGUUCAGAUGUGUUUUAAGUUCUUACCCAUUAAACCAACGUGACUGAAGAGCAUUGACAGUGAGAGCUGUCUGUCUCCUUUUUGCAGGUGCUCAUUCAUCCUUCACCGCUACAAGCUGUGGCCUGGUGUGUUGUGACUAACAGCAGGCAGUGGGAGGCCUGCUUUUGUUCCUGCAUCUCUUACUGACUUUGGGAAAUCUCUCCUGCUGUCUACUAAAGUUUCUCUGAAAAGCAUUUUAAACCAUUUUUUUUUGUUACCAUGUUGGCGAUUAGAAGCAGACUGCAUCCCAUAUUCUAGGACUUCUUAAUGGAGAUUGCUUGUUCGAUUUUCCAAGGAACCUAGGAGUAAAUCUGGAGUGUUGUGAUUGCUACAUAAUCAUCUUGAGGUUUAACCCUACUGGGUUAAACACAUUUCUUGAGUUCUUUGAGAAGAACUCCCUCAGGCACCUGGGAACACACCGUUCAGUCAUGUCGUGCUCUUUGCUGGUGAUGCUUGUCUGUUCCUUUUCUGAGUUUUCAGGGCUGGUAGCCUGGCAGCUGGUGCAUUUGGAGAGCCAACUUGUCAGAGACAGAGAACAAAAACAGAUGUUUAAGAUACCCAUUGAAGACUUGCUGAUGCCUUAUGGAAUGUGGCAAAAUGUUUAAGGUGAUUACAGCCCAUGUUUCUCACUGAUGAAUGUGGCAGAAAACUGUUGCAGAUCAAUCUGCUGGAGAAUGACAAGUGCAGUGAAGAGAAGGAAAAUUUCAUACUUGUGUGUCACUACACAAAUCAGCUGAACUUGGAUUAUAAGAAUAGAGCAAAAUAAAGGAGUUUUGGAGGGGGAGAAAAGACAACUCAGCAUGAAGCAGGCCUCAGAUUUCCCACACUUCCAUGAGAGGGCAAAACAAGCACUGAAACAAGAAUAGCUAUUCAUGUGCAAUAGGUGUUGGAAGAAAGAAGUAAGGAUUUUACUUUGCCUUUGAUUGCUGAACUGUGCUUUUUGUCUGUGACAGCUGCCAUCUAAUUAUUGGUCCAUCUCAACAGAAUUGAAAUGAUUUUGCAAGGGCAGAAAGAUGGGCAGCAGGACUGCGCUCUCUAGGUCUCAUACUUGAUACCUGGGUAACCAACAUCAUAUUCAAUCUCCAUUUGAAAAAACAAGUGAGUUCUGGAGGGCCAGGCUCACUAAAUGCGUAGCAGUGCUUCCUGAGGCUUUUUUUUUGUUUCCUAAAGUCUGUAACUUAAGACACUGAGAAAUGCAAGCUCUUUCAUGAGAUUUAAGGAAUUCCUUUGUGAGGACUUCCAUUACCGUCAGGCCUGCUGCACUUGUCUUUGAAGGGUUUGGCCAACAGGUGUCUACAGGUUGAGCUCCCAGAGAAUGCACUACUUAAGCAGGAGGGCUCAGAUGUCUCCAAUAAUGAUUUGAGGAAGCAGAGUUUGUGAGCAAGAGGGUCCAUAUACCCAGAAUGGAUGUCAUGUAAGAGGGAAGAAUGAUGAAUACUCUAUAUUUCCUUUCUGCAAGUCAAGAUGCUUUAAUCAAUUACAAGGUGAAUGCUCAGGACAGUGGGAGCUGAGAGGUUUUGUAGUUCUGAGUUAUAGGUUACCCAACCUUAACCAUGUGCCAAUCUCCAACCCUGAAGGUCAGUUCAAGCAAAUGUCAGUCCUAUUGUUUGUGAAUUGCUACUGCUGUAUUCAUAGAAUCAGAGGACAGCUUGGGAGAGACCACUUGAGUCUCAAAUCCAUUCCCUUAUUCCCAGCAGGCCUAAUUCUAAAGUUAGAUAAGGUUGCUAAUGUUCAAAUAAGUCCUAAAAUCCCAAUUCUGAGCCACUCGCCUUGGCUCUGCUGAUGGGAUUUUGUGUGUGUGUGUGUUAAGUCUAGUUGGAAUUUCCUUUGCUGCAACCUGUAUUCAUUUCCUCUCACUCUUUCAAAUCUGGACCUUAAUGGAGUGUCUGACUUUCUCAUAGCCUUUUCUACAGUCUGAGAUAGCAAUUGAGUCCCCCACAACCUUCUCUUCUCCAGGCCAAAAAUUCAGGUCCCUCGCCUCUCUUUCUACGUAUUUCAGAUACCUGAUCUUCUUGGAGGACCCAGCUCAGUAUAUUGAUAUCUCUCAUGACCAGGGAAAACCAGAAAUGGAAACUGUCCCAGAUGCAGCCUCAUGAGCACUUGACAAAAGGGAACAGUCACUUGCCUAGUUUGCUCUCUUGCCUCUGCAGCCUAGUAUGCUUUUAGCCUAUUUCUGCCAAGGCAUACUUCUGGGUAUUGUCAACUGUUGUCCAUCAGGAGCCCGAGGCCUUUUUCUACAAAGUUGCCUUCUAGGCAGAAAGGAUCCAGCCUGCACUGGGAACUGGGGGCUUCACAAGACACCCAUUUUA
Molecule: long non-coding RNA, 4140 nt
Organism: Lagopus muta (rock ptarmigan)
Lineage: Eukaryota; Metazoa; Chordata; Aves; Galliformes; Phasianidae
Exons: 4
Source: RefSeq, a predicted model, not a curated record